CCGCGCCGCCCGCACCGGAGACCUUCGCCUCGCCCCGCCGGUUCCUCACCCUCGGGGAGCAACAUGGCAGAUAAUCUCAGUGAUACCUUGAAGAAGCUGAAGAUAACAGCUGUUGACAAGACUGAGGAUAGUUUAGAAGGAUGCUUGGAUUGUCUGCUUCAAGCCCUGGCUCAAAAUAAUACGGAAACAAGUGAAAAAAUCCAAGCAAGUGGAAUACUUCAGCUGUUUGCAAGUCUGUUGACUCCACAGUCUUCCUGCAAAGCCAAAGUAGCUAACAUCAUAGCAGAAGUAGCCAAAAAUGAGUUUAUGCGAAUUCCAUGUGUGGAUGCUGGAUUGAUUUCACCACUGGUGCAGCUGCUAAAUAGCAAAGACCAGGAAGUGCUGCUUCAAACGGGCAGGGCUCUAGGAAACAUAUGUUACGAUAGCCAUGAGGGCAGAAGUGCAGUUGACCAAGCAGGUGGUGCACAGAUUGUAAUUGACCAUUUAAGGUCCCUGUGCAGUAUAACAGAUCCCGCCAAUGAGAAGCUCUUGACUGUCUUUUGUGGCAUGCUGAUGAACUAUAGCAAUGAGAAUGAUUCGCUUCAAGCUCAGCUUAUCAAUAUGGGUGUUAUUCCUACCUUAGUGAAAUUACUGGGCAUCCACUGCCAAAAUGCAGCUCUUACAGAAAUGUGUCUUGUUGCAUUUGGUAAUUUAGCAGAACUUGGUAAGUCUUAGUCGUGAACCACAAAUGUAAUUAACUUAUUAAUGUGCUUACAAAAGUCUUAGUCAUGAACCACAAAUGUAAUUAACUUAUUAAUGUGCUUACAAUAAAUUUUUCUGUAGAUAUUAAGAAGCUAGAAAUCCAUUUAGAUUGUAUUAAUUUUUUGAAGCAUUUGAGAUAUUUCCAUCAAUAUUUUAAAAAGUAAAUCCAAUUAGAUCUUAU
This 922-nucleotide small RNA is filed under the name Pongo abelii (Sumatran orangutan). RNAcentral's name for it is "retained intron". The record is from RNAcentral. Lineage: Eukaryota; Metazoa; Chordata; Mammalia; Primates; Hominidae.